This 490-nucleotide ribosomal RNA is filed under the name uncultured bacterium. RNAcentral describes it as "bacterial SSU rRNA". It matches the Rfam family "Bacterial small subunit ribosomal RNA", at positions 10 to 523 of the family's 1533-position model. The record is from RNAcentral.
AGUUUGAUCCUGGCUCAGAACGAACGCUGGCGGCAGGCUUAACACAUGCAAGUCGAACGCAUCGCAAGAUGAGUGGCAGACGGGUGAGUAACGCGUGGGAAUCUACCGUGCCCUGCGGAAUAGCUCCGGGAAACUGGAAUUAAUACCGCAUACGCCCUACGGGGGAAAGAUUUAUCGGGGUAUGAUGAGCCCGCGUUGGAUUAGCUAGUUGGUGGGGUAAAGGCCUACCAAGCCGACGAUCCAUAGCUGGUCUGAGAGGAUGAUCAGCCACAUUGGGACUGAGACACGGCCCAAACUCCUACGGGAGGCAGCAGCGGGGAAUAUUGGACAAUGGGCGCAAGCCUGAUCCAGCCAUGCCGCGUGGGUGAAGAAGGCCUUCGGGUUGUAAAGCCCUUUUGUUGGGAAAGAAAAGCAGUCGGUUAAUACCCGAUUGUUCUGACGGUACCCAAAGAAUAAGCACCGGCUAACUUCGUGCCAGCAGCCGCGGUAA